CCUGCACUCUGGGAUAAGCUUGGGAAACUGGGUCUAAUACCGGAUAUGACCACAGCAUGCAUGUGUUGUGGGGGAAAGAUUUAUCGGUGCGGGAUGGGCCCGCGGCCUAUCAGCUUGUUGGUGGGGUAAUGGCCUACCAAGGCGACGACGGGUAGCCGACCUGAGAGGGUGACCGGCCACACUGGGACUGAGACACGGCCCAGACUCCUACUGGAGGCAGCAGUGGGGAAUAUUGCACAAUGGGCGGAAGCCUGAUGCAGCGACGCCGCGUGAGGGAUGAAGGCCUUCGGGUUGUAAACCUCUUUCAGCAGGGACGAAGCGUGAGUGACGGAACCUGCAUAAGAAGCACCGGCUAACUACGUGCCAGCAGCCGCGGUAAUACGUAAGGUGCGAGCGUUGUCCGGAAUUACUGGGCGUAAAGAGUUCGUAAGCGGUUUGUCGCGUCGUUUGUGAAAACCCGGGGCUCAACUUCGGGUUUGCGGGUGAUACGGGCAGACUUGAGUGUUUCAGGGGAGACUGGAAUUCCUGGUGUAACGGUGAAAUGCGCAAUAUCAGGAGGAACACCGGUGGCGAAGGCGGUCUCUGGGAAACAACUGACACUGAGGAACGAAAGCGGGGUUAGCAAACAGGAUUAGAUACCCUGGUAAUCCACGCCGAAACAGUGGGCGCUAGGUGUGGGUUCCUUCACGGGAUCUGUGCCGUAGCUAACGCAUUAAGCGCCCGCCUGGGGAGUACCGCCGCAAGGCUAAACUCAAAAGAUUGACGGGUGCCCGCACAGCCGCGGACCAUGUGUAUUAUUCGAAUCAGCGCCAGAACCUAACCUGGGUUUGGAUGUCUCAGUAUAACCUAGAAUUACGGUCCCCCUUGUGGUCUGUGUACAAGUGGUCAUUUAGUUUAUAAGCUCGUGUCGUGAGAUGUUGGGAUAAGUCCCGCCACGAGCGCACCCCUUGUUUUAUGUUACCAGCAGGUAAUGGAGAGGGACUUGUAAGAACUGCCGGGGUCAACUCGGAGGAAGGUGGGGACGACCUCAAGUCAUCAUGCCCCUUAUGUCCAGGGCUUCACACAUGCUACAAUGGCCAGUACAGAGGGCUACGAGACCGUGAGGUGGAGCGAAUCCCUUAAAACUGGU
RNAcentral lists this ribosomal RNA (1129 nucleotides) under bacterium KR 2001/7_169. Its description in RNAcentral is "bacterial SSU rRNA". It matches the Rfam family "Bacterial small subunit ribosomal RNA", at positions 130 to 1286 of the family's 1533-position model. The record is from RNAcentral.